RNAcentral lists this ribosomal RNA (867 nucleotides) under Triticum aestivum (bread wheat). Its description in RNAcentral is "partial small subunit ribosomal RNA". The record is from RNAcentral. Lineage: Eukaryota; Viridiplantae; Streptophyta; Magnoliopsida; Poales; Poaceae.
CUAACAUAUACAAGUUUAAUCAAUUUUCCAUUUCUAAUAUUUCUUACACUUCCAAAACUCUCAUGCAGGCAAGCAUUUUGAUCACAUUCUCCAGAGAUGGAUGCUAAGGAAAGAAGAAGGAAACAAGACAGAGAGCGCUAUGAACAGAUGGCCAAUGAAAAAAGAGAGGAAAAACUCAAAAAAGGCCGUGAAGCCUAUCAACAAAAGAAAGAAAAAAUAUGCGCACAACAAAGGCAGAUAUAUGCAAAAAUGCAGCCGGAACAAAAGAAAGCUAGAAAAGAACAUAUCAAUGAAUUGAAACGCAACACAGCAAGCAAAGACUCCAUUGCACGGGAGAACCCUGCCUAUAUUGCAACUGAAAAAGAAGUUGGUACUUCUACCUUUCCUGAUUACAGAAAGCAUGUCACACCAGGAGAAAGGCAAACAUUGCUACACCGUCGUAACAAAGAAUUCACGACAAGACAGAGGCAUGUAUCAUCGAAACAAGAUGUAUCUAUGACGGAAACCGGCGACGAUGACACAGAACCUCUACAGCAACCAGAAGAAAUGAUUUACGGUAAUACUCUAAAUUUACACAAUACUCGCAUUCAAAAUAAAUAUACGAAUGUUUGUAGAACUAACCAUCUUUUAUGGACAGAUAUCCCUUCAAUGUUUCCAAGCAUCAAAGAAGCGGAUACACCAACACAGACAUUCUACAAUGACGAUCAAAAUAAGGUGGCAUUGUGGCCAGACAUCCCGUCUUCAAUGUUUCCAGCAAUCAAAGAAGUAGAUGCACGAAUACAAACAUUAUACAAUGAUGUUCAUGGUAAGGUUAUAAAAUUUCUUAUAUAUUUUUAUGCAAUACAAAAAUUACAUAUAUAUAUAUAA